CUGAAACCGUGUACGUACAAGCAGUGGGAGCACCCUUUGGGGUGUGACUGCGUACCUUUUGUAUAAUGGGUCAGCGACUUAUAUUCUGUAGCAAGGUUAACCGUAUAGGGGAGCCGGAGGGAAACCGAGUCUUAACCGGGCGUUAAGUUGCAGGGUAUAGACCCGAAACCCGGUGAUCUAGCCAUGGGCAGGUUGAAGGUUGGGUAACACUAACUGGAGGACCGAACCGACUAAUGUUGAAAAAUUAGCGGAUGACCUGUGGCUGGGGGUGAAAGGCCAAUCAAACCGGGAGAUAGCUGGUUCUCCCCGAAAGCUAUUUAGGUAGCGCCUCGUGAAUUCAUCUCCGGGGGUAGAGCACUGUUUCGGCUAGGGGGCCAUCCCGGCUUACCAACCCGAUGCAAACUGCGAAUACCGGAGAAUGUUAUCACGGGAGACACACGGCGGGUGCUAACGUCCGUCGUGAAGAGGGAAACAACCCAGACCGCCAGCUAAGGUCCCAAAGUCAUGGUUAAGUGGGAAACGAUGUGGGAAGGCCCAGACAGCCAGGAUGUUGGCUUAGAAGCAGCCAUCAUUUAAAGAAAGCGUAAUAGCUCACUGGUCGAGUCGGCCUGCGCGGAAGAUGUAACGGGGCUAAACCAUG
This 640-nucleotide ribosomal RNA is filed under the name Salmonella enterica. RNAcentral describes it as "partial 23S ribosomal RNA". It matches the Rfam family "Bacterial large subunit ribosomal RNA", at positions 550 to 1191 of the family's 2925-position model. Lineage: Bacteria; Pseudomonadati; Pseudomonadota; Gammaproteobacteria; Enterobacterales; Enterobacteriaceae. RNAcentral also lists the same sequence under 1 other name. The record is from RNAcentral.